UCCCUAUGGGGUGCACCAGGCGCGCAAACUUUACAAUGCGAGCAAUCGUGAUAAGGAAACCCUGAGUGCCUGUCGAUGCAGGCUGUUCAUAUAUCUAAAUCAUAUGUGAAGAAAGGGCAGGGCAAGACCGGUGCCAGCCGCCGCGGUAAUACA
RNAcentral lists this ribosomal RNA (153 nucleotides) under uncultured archaeon. Its description in RNAcentral is "partial 16S ribosomal RNA". It matches the Rfam family "Archaeal small subunit ribosomal RNA", at positions 319 to 477 of the family's 1478-position model. RNAcentral also lists the same sequence under 1 other name. The record is from RNAcentral.